ACCCUGGUAGCUCAGUCGGCAGAGCAAGUGACUGUUAAUCACUGGGUCGGCGGUUCGAGCCCGUCCCAGGGUG
Molecule: transfer RNA, 73 nt
Filed under: Deferribacteraceae bacterium
Lineage: Bacteria; Pseudomonadati; Deferribacterota; Deferribacteres; Deferribacterales; Deferribacteraceae
Description: tRNA-Asn
Rfam family: tRNA
About the family: Transfer RNA (tRNA) molecules are approximately 80 nucleotides in length. Their secondary structure includes four short double-helical elements and three loops (D, anti-codon, and T loops).
Source: RNAcentral